GGAGGUUUAGCUCAGCGGCAUAAGCACCUGCCUUGCAAGCAGGCGGUCGUGAGUUCGAUCCCCGCUACCGAUA
RNAcentral lists this transfer RNA (73 nucleotides) under Cavia porcellus (domestic guinea pig). It matches the Rfam family "tRNA". Rfam says of the family: Transfer RNA (tRNA) molecules are approximately 80 nucleotides in length. Their secondary structure includes four short double-helical elements and three loops (D, anti-codon, and T loops). Lineage: Eukaryota; Metazoa; Chordata; Mammalia; Rodentia; Caviidae. The record is from Rfam by way of RNAcentral.